GUGUCAGCCGCCGCGGUAAGACGUAGGGGGCGAGCGUUGUCCGGAUUUACUGGGCGUAAAGCGCGCGUAGGCGGUCAGGUAAGUCGUAGGUGAAAUCCCUGGGCUCAACCCGGGAACUGCUUGCGAAACUGCUUGGCUAGAGUACGGGAGAGGAGAGUGGAAUUGCUGGUGGAGCGGUGAAAUGCGUAGAUAUCAGCAAGAACGCCUGUGGCGAAGGCUGCUCUCUGGAACGCUACUGACGCUGAGGCGCGAAAGCUAGGGGAGCGAACGGGAUUAGAUACCCCGGUAGUCCUAGCUGUAAACGAUGGGCACUAGGUGUUGGGAGUAUCGACCCUCCCAGUGCUGGUAUGCUAACGCGUUAAGUGCCCCGCCUGGGGAGUACGGCCGCAAGGUUGAAACUUAAAUGAAUUGACGGGG
This 417-nucleotide ribosomal RNA is filed under the name uncultured prokaryote. Its description in RNAcentral is "bacterial SSU rRNA". It matches the Rfam family "Bacterial small subunit ribosomal RNA", at positions 505 to 918 of the family's 1533-position model. The record is from RNAcentral.